AUCCAGCUGAAGGGUCCCAGAUGGGACAAAACGCGCGUCAUGUAU
RNAcentral lists this non-coding RNA (45 nucleotides) under Schistosoma margrebowiei. The record is from RNAcentral. Lineage: Eukaryota; Metazoa; Platyhelminthes; Trematoda; Strigeidida; Schistosomatidae.